GGGAGUACUAAUAAUCAGAUUCCACCAUCUACUGCCCCGCUAAAUAGUAAACACGCAUCAAUUAUUGACGUCACCCAAAGGCCAGAAAGUUGUACACUCUGAUUUGAGGUAUUUAGACUUAUUGGAAACGUUACCGAGGGAACUAUUUAGUGGAUGUUAAUAUUCAAGAGAAGGCGAGCAAUUAAAUUGGACCCACGCGUUUUUAAAUAUUGAAUUCUUAUAAGAACUUUUGACUGAUUGUAUCAAGAGUUGAGUACGGAUUCCAAAUAGGAGUGACCAAAGAGUGCAAACAGCAAUACCUGUAAAUAGCAACUAAGGUUCCACAAGAAAAUGGUGCGUCCCGUCCUAGUCACCCUUGUCAUAUGCUGUGUAGUAGCACUCUACCAGACAAACGCCAACACACUCAGGCAAAAACGCUCUUCUACACCAAAAGACAGGGGUGCAUUGUCACAACAUCUAAUAAGAUGGAUGAAAAAGAAUUUUUACGACGAGUGUGCUGGUAGCUGCUCUGUGAAUGCAAAUGGCGAGGACGACUGUACCUGCUUUGGAUACUUCUGUUCUGUGGAAACCAACGAAAUACAGAAUAUCGGGGCACGGGAAGAGGGCGUCUGCAGUCCAUUGGCGCAGUUCUGGGGCUACAAGUAACUUAGUGCCUAGACACGGAAAACCUCUGGGACCACCAGUGAUAUGGGCCUAAGACAAGACAUCGUUUCACACAUUUAAAAACAAUUUGAAACCGCUGAAUUUAUUCUCAUUAACACAUUUGUCUACCAUAUUUUUUAUAUUGUUUUCAAUAGG
This 798-nucleotide unclassified non-coding RNA is filed under the name Owenia fusiformis. Its description in RNAcentral is "misc RNA OFUS_LOCUS884". The record is from RNAcentral. Lineage: Eukaryota; Metazoa; Annelida; Polychaeta; Sabellida; Oweniidae.